Molecule: ribosomal RNA, 845 nt
Filed under: uncultured bacterium
Lineage: Bacteria
Description: bacterial SSU rRNA
Rfam family: Bacterial small subunit ribosomal RNA
Source: RNAcentral
ACACAUGCAAGUCGAGGGGCAGCAUGGUCUUAGCUUGCUAAGGCCGAUGGCGACCGGCGCACGGGUGAGUAACACGUAUCCAACCUGCCGUCUACUCUUGGACAGCCUUCUGAAAGGAAGAUUAAUACAAGAUGGCAUCAUGAGUCCGCAUGUUCACAUGAUUAAAGGUAUUCCGGUAGACGAUGGGGAUGCGUUCCAUUAGAUAGUAGGCGGGGUAACGGCCCACCUAGUCUUCGAUGGAUAGGGGUUCUGAGAGGAAGGUCCCCCACAUUGGAACUGAGACACGGUCCAAACUCCUACGGGAGGCAGCAGUGAGGAAUAUUGGUCAAUGGGCGAGAGUCUGAACCAGCCAAGUAGCGUGAAGGAUGACUGCCCUAUGGGUUGUAAACUUCUUUUAUAAAGGAAUAAAGUCGGGUAUGGAUACCCGUUUGCAUGUACUUUAUGAAUAAGGAUCGGCUAACUCCGUGCCAGCAGCCGCGGUAAUACGGAGGAUCCGAGCGUUAUCCGGAUUUAUUGGGUUUAAAGGGAGCGUAGAUGGAUGUUUAAGUCAGUUGUGAAAGUUUGCGGCUCAACCGUAAAAUUGCAGUUGAUACUGGAUAUCUUGAGUGCAGUUGAGGCAGGCGGAAUUCGUGGUGUAGCGGUGAAAUGCUUAGAUAUCACGAAGAACUCCGAUUGCGAAGGCAGCCUGCUAAGCUGCAACUGACAUUGAGGCUCGAAAGUGUGGGUAUCAAACAGGAUUAGAUACCCUGGUAGUCCACACGGUAAACGAUGAAUACUCGCUGUUUGCGAUAUACUGCAAGCGGCCAAGCGAAAGCGUUAAGUAUUCCACCUGGGGAGUACGCCGG